UACGUAGGGGGCAAGCGUUGUCCGGAUUCAUUGGGCGUAAAGAGCGUGUAGGCGGCCAGGCAGGUCGGUUGUGAAAACUGGAGGCUCAACCUUCAGAGGUCGACCGAAACCAUCUGGCUAGAGUCCGGGAGAGGAGAGUGGAAUUCCUGGUGUAGCGGUGAAAUGCGCAGAUAUCAGGAAGAACACCCGUGGCGAAAGCGGCUCUCUGGAACGGUACUGACGCUGAGACGCGAAAGCGUGGGGAGCGAACAGG
This 253-nucleotide ribosomal RNA is filed under the name uncultured bacterium. RNAcentral describes it as "partial 16S ribosomal RNA". It matches the Rfam family "Bacterial small subunit ribosomal RNA", at positions 524 to 776 of the family's 1533-position model. The record is from RNAcentral.